UUGCAUUUGAAGCCCAUGAGGAUGAGAACCUCCGGGGGCGGGGAGGUUCGACUCGAGCGAAGCGAGAGAACGUUGCGCCAGCAACGGCCCGCAGGGCGAGCCA
RNAcentral lists this small RNA (103 nucleotides) under Escherichia coli. Its description in RNAcentral is "partial RtT sRNA". It matches the Rfam family "RtT RNA", at positions 1 to 98 of the family's 130-position model. From Rfam's summary of the family: This family represents a bacterial cis-regulatory element known as RtT RNA. The exact function of RtT is unknown although it is thought that it may be involved in changing the cellular response in relation to amino acid starvation. Lineage: Bacteria; Pseudomonadati; Pseudomonadota; Gammaproteobacteria; Enterobacterales; Enterobacteriaceae. The record is from RNAcentral. RNAcentral also lists the same sequence under 1 other name.